GACGAACGCUGGCGGCGUGCCUAACACAUGCAAGUCGAGCGGAGUCGAUCGACGGAAGCCUUCGGGCGGAAGAUGGUUGACUUAGCGGCGGAUGGGUGAGUAACGCGUGGGCAACCUGCCUCGAAGACCGGGAUAACAGCCCGAAAGGGCUGCUAAUACCGGAUGUGGUCAAGGAUCCGCAUGGAUUUUUGAUUAAAGGGGAAACCCGUUUCGAGAUGGGCCCGCGUCCUAUCAGCUAGUUGGUGAGGUAAAAGCUCACCAAGGCGACGACGGGUAGCCGGCCUGAGAGGGUGACCGGCCACACUGGAACUGAGACACGGUCCAGACUCCUACGGGGGGCAGCAGUGGGGAAUCUUCCACAAUGGGCGAAAGCCUGAUGGAGCGACGCCGCGUGAGCGAAGAAGGCCUUCGGGUUGUAAAGCUCUGUCUGGAGGGACGAAGGAAGUGACGGUACCUCCGGAGGAAGCCACGGCUAACUACGUGCCAGCAGCCGCGGUAAACCACUGUACAGU
Molecule: ribosomal RNA, 512 nt
Filed under: uncultured bacterium
Lineage: Bacteria
Description: bacterial SSU rRNA
Rfam family: Bacterial small subunit ribosomal RNA
Source: RNAcentral